AAACCACUCAAGCUCUUUUGCUUGGUCAUGGUGGACGAGUGUUGCCUCUGGGCGUGCUCGCCGCCGAAAUUCAAUGGCGGAAAGCUUUGUGUUGCCUGAGCGUGAUAAGUUAACCCUUUCGCUUGGACAUCAAGGUGCUCCUGCCCUCAACCCCCAUUCUUCUUU
Molecule: unclassified non-coding RNA, 165 nt
Filed under: uncultured Pyronemataceae
Lineage: Eukaryota; Fungi; Ascomycota; Pezizomycetes; Pezizales; Pyronemataceae
Description: sequence contains ITS2
Source: RNAcentral